This 255-nucleotide ribosomal RNA is filed under the name uncultured bacterium. RNAcentral describes it as "partial 16S ribosomal RNA". It matches the Rfam family "Bacterial small subunit ribosomal RNA", at positions 524 to 776 of the family's 1533-position model. The record is from RNAcentral.
UACGGUAGGGUCCGAGCGUUGUCCGGAAUUAUUGGGCGUAAAGGGCUCGUAGGCGGUUUGUCGCGUCGGGAGUGAAAACACGGGGCUUAACCCCGUGCCUGCUUCCGAUACGGGCAGACUAGAGGUAUGCAGGGGAGAACGGAAUUCCUGGUGUAGCGGUGAAAUGCGCAGAUAUCAGGAGGAACACCGGUGGCGAAGGCGGGUCUCUGGGCAAUAACUGACGCUGAGGAGCGAAAGCAUGGGGGAGCGAACAGG